RNAcentral lists this microRNA (19 nucleotides) under Tribolium castaneum (red flour beetle). RNAcentral describes it as "tca-miR-3905-5p". The record is from miRBase by way of RNAcentral. Lineage: Eukaryota; Metazoa; Arthropoda; Insecta; Coleoptera; Tenebrionidae.
GGAAGGGGGAGCCGCCUUG